UACAGUUAACUGGUUAGAAUCAGUUUCUUGAGUUUGCUUGCUUAGCAUGUAAUAUUUCGCACUCACUAAUUGUAUUAUUUCACGGUUGGCAAUUGUUAGAACCAGGUCUUGAGUUUGCUUGCUUAAUCGUGUCCCUGUGUAAUUGCUCACCAAGCUCGCCAAUGUGAGUUUGUCCCACAUAAUGGAGUUUCUAUGAAUUCUUGGAAAUUCUUGGAAAUUCUCUUGUUGCUGUUAUAACGUGGGUGUGUUCGGCUUCCUUCUUCACUAAAGUUUGACAAGAGUCGUAAAACCAAUGGAUAAUAAGAGACUGUUUGAUGGUGAAAGAAUUUAUGCUCGUGGUGACUACCUCAAGUGUGCCAGAAUGGCUGCUGUUAAACAAGAGGAGGUAGACACAACCAAUGAUACCAGCGGUGGCCAAAUUACCCAUGACGAACCACUAUGUCGGAAGCACAAUAAGCGAUAUGAGUAUAUUCAUCGCCCACGCAAAGCAAGCUCAGUCAAAAAGUUCUAAGGCAAGAAAAUCCAUCUAAAGCCUAGAAAGUUCAUUCUCCAUGGUGAGCCUUGCAAGCACUACUUAGAUGAGUUUAGUCGCCACGUUGUGUGGGGCAACAUAGUUAGGCUCUACAACCAUAAUGUUCGUGCACUGCAAAAGAUCAUCCACAGCACCACCACGCCUAAUAACUACUAUGUGUGACACAUGACAGAAACAUUUGCAACACAAGGCAAAAGAAUGUAUUUUAAUGUCCACUUUUCUAUGGUUCCCUUUUCCCACACAUGGAUGCUGACCACGGUGAACUUCCAAUCACAACUGGAGAUGGAAGAACCACUGUCACGGCCCGCUUUAUAAAGGGAGUUGACAAAAGGGCCACCAUCACUAAAGGCUGGAGCGACUUCUUCCGUUGGACCCACAUGAACGAAGGGCAAGCAUAUGCUUUCGGCUUCAAAUGCACUUCCAAGGGAUUGCACCUGAUUGUCUACUCAAUAUAAGCAAGUUGCAGGAGCCCCUUUCUAUAUAACAUAGUAUUAGUAUAAAUGCCUACAAAGACAUCUAUGUUUAUCCUCCUUUUUGAUCUUAUGUAAUCCCCUAAGACACUGCUGUGCAUUUAGCUAUCGAUUAUCCGCUACUUAGGCUGCUCUAUCGCAUGCUUUUGAAACAACCAUGAUAAAGGAAAUAUA
Triticum aestivum (bread wheat) is the source of this 1176-nucleotide long non-coding RNA. RefSeq lists it as uncharacterized. Lineage: Eukaryota; Viridiplantae; Streptophyta; Magnoliopsida; Poales; Poaceae. The record is from RefSeq and is a predicted model, not a curated record. The transcript has 6 exons.